GGAAGGAUCAUUCACACGUGAUUAUCCACAUUAUGUGAAUCUUGGUGUCAAUCGAUAUCAAUUGUGGCCUGUCUUCUCAUCCCGCUUGCGAGACCUAGGGGACAGGUCAAAGCUGUAUGGGCCCCUCGCAGUCUAAAUUUCUGGAAGUGCUGGCUCCGACCAGUGUGGAUGGAAACUGUACGCAUAGAGGGCAUCCGUUAAGGAGAUAGGCUUGUAUGUGGUUAUGCCAUAAACAAGUAUUCUCUGGGUGUCGUAUACUGUGAACCCUGAUCUCGAUUGGGUGUAUCAGAAGUAUACUGGGGGCCGGUUUAAAAGGGAACAUUAUAACUAAACUUCUAAUACUAUCAGCGAUGGAUAUCUUGGCUCCCACAACGAUGAAGGACGCAGCAAAAUGUGAUAACCAUUGUGAAUUGCAGAAUUCAGUGAAUCAUCAGAAUGCUGAACGCAUACGGCUCUUGCUCUGCAAGAAUGUCUGUCUCAGAAUCAUUGUAAACUCAAACAUUAACUCACGUUAAUUUUGAGAUACGGACCAACUCCGGGGAACCGCGGUUGGUUUCUGUUCACCAUAUCUAUCUGCAUAGCAGCAAGUUAAACUUGAUUUCGCUGCGUGCAGAUGUUCGUGGUGUUUUCUUUGCUUGUGAUCUGAGAUCAGGCAAGGCUACCCGCUGAAUUUAAGCAUAUUAUUAAGCGGAGGAAAAGAAACUAACUAGGAUUCCCUUAGUAAUGGCGAAUGAACAGGGAUAAGCUCAAAAUGAAAAUCUGCAUCUUACGGUGCCGAAUUGUAGUCUCAAGAGAGUUUACCAGUCGAAGCGCAGGGAUAAGUCUCUAGGAAAAGAGCAGUAUAGAGGGUGACAAUCCCGUCUUUGCUCUGCAGCCUUUGACGUACGGUAUUCUUUCAACGAGUCGUGUUCCUUGGGAUUGGAGCGCUAAUUGGGUGGUAAAUUUCAUCUAAAGCUAAAUAUUGGUGGGAGACCGAUAGCAAACAAGUACCGUGAGGGAAAGAUGAAAAGAGCUUUGAAAAGAGAGUUGAAUAGUGCUUGAAAUUGCUGGUAGGGAAGCGAAUGUAGUUGUCUAAGCUUCAGGGAUUGUUGGUUACUAAAGCAGAAUUCCAGGUUGCACCGCAAGGGCAGCGCUGGGGGGAAGCCUACGUUUCUGGUGUCUCCUUGAAGCCGUGUCAGCAUCAGUUGCGAGCUCAUCAAAACUUCUAAAGAAGGUGACCCUCUCGGGGUGUUUUAGCUUUAGUAAGUUGAUGUUCUUGCUUCUGAGGAAUGCAGACGCAGCAUCAGUUGCGUCUUCAGAUGCUGACAAAACGACUAUAUCCGACCCGUCUUGAAACACGGACCAAGGAGUCUAACAUAUGUGCAAGUGUGCAGAUACAACAUCUGUACGCGCAAUGAAAGUAAUAGUUGGGACCCUUGGGCACCAACGACCGACCAUUCUCUCUGAGAGAGGUUUGAGUUUGAGCACAUCUGUUAGGACCCGAAAGAUGGUGAACUAUGCCUGAGUAGGGUGAAGCCAGGGGAAACCCUGGUGGAGGCUCGUAGCGAUACUGACGUGCAAAUCGUUCGUCAAACUUGGGUAUAGGGGCGAAAGACUAAUCGAACCAUCUAGUAGCUGGUUCCCUC
This 1625-nucleotide unclassified non-coding RNA is filed under the name uncultured fungus. RNAcentral's name for it is "sequence contains 18S rRNA gene, ITS1, 5.8S rRNA gene, ITS2, 28S rRNA gene". The stretch from base 639 to 1625 matches the Rfam family "Eukaryotic large subunit ribosomal RNA", at positions 1 to 961 of the family's 3401-position model. The record is from RNAcentral. Lineage: Eukaryota; Fungi.